UGAUGCCAGGGGCAAAAGGUCAUAAACCACGUUGUGCUUGCACAUAAGUGGUUUUAUGCCUUUAUGCUCCGCGAUAUCCGAAUAUGGGGCAGAAUUGUGAGAGUGCGCAGCACGAAACAAUUCGUCAGGCAUCU
RNAcentral lists this small RNA (134 nucleotides) under Firmicutes bacterium CAG:646. RNAcentral describes it as "Clostridiales-1 RNA". It matches the Rfam family "Clostridiales-1 RNA". Lineage: Bacteria; Bacillati; Bacillota. The record is from Rfam by way of RNAcentral.